UUUCCCUGUUGGAUCACUAGACAUAUGGGUAUUAUGACUCAUACUGUGGUACUCUAUUCCUCUUGUCAGAUCAGCUAAAAAGAAGGAAUAGGAAACAAUUUUAAGAAAACAUAUUUAAUAUCAGUGUUUUUCCAGACUCCCAUUGUGUUUUUUCAUUAAGCUAUCAUGUCAAAUAUUGGUAAAAUUGGGAUUGUGAAUGCACCCCAAGCACGACCGAGUCCUCGACACUGACAAACUACAAGACCUGGAAUGCAUUGCGAGAGGAUUGCGAUAUAUGUACAUCCGAAAUGUAUUUACGACUUACCGUAUUGUGAUUUAUUUACAUGGCAAUACAGAAAAUAUGUUCAACAAAAAAACCACGAAGACAUUUUAGGCAAAAGAAAGGAGAAUCGAGCGAUGAAGCUGAACAGAAGAACGGAGAGGGUGAUGACGUAGGGUAAAACACAAGUUACCGCUGAUAGCAUAAAGCCCUUCAAGUCGUCGCAGAACAAGUCGGACUCGAGUGGUGCUGAAGACGUAGUGGAAGAUCACAGAAUUGAUCGAUCGCGGUUACUAGAUCGCCUCACAGCAAAGAGAACAAGGAUGGACGAAAUCAAAUUAACGUGCUCAGCUUCUCUGACGACAAAGUGGUGAUCCCGGACGCGAGGAGGAUCCAGGCAGCCAGGAAGCAGCGUCAGAAGGCCAGAGCCCAGAAGGACUACAUCUCCCUGGGCAGAGACUGGGAGAGCCCCCCCCGGACCCCAGACCACUAGGACCUGGAGGAACACAGUGAUGAAGAAGAUGAUGAUGAUAAGCCAGAUGACCAUGAACGAAGGAUCAAGUUUGCCCCACGGUCCAAAACCAUCAGGGAGAGGAUAGCAGAGAAGAUGGGGAGUGAUGGUGAUGACAGUGGCUCUGAAGACCAGGAGGGAGAGGAGAAUAACCUGUGGGAGGAGCAACAGAUUGGGAAGCGAGUCAAGCGACACCCUGGGGAAACGGGUAAGAUAUUCACCCCUCUACUUUCUAAGUCGCACAGAAAACACACUUACUUUCUCACUCCGUCACUUCACCGUCUGUCCUUCGGUCCGUCCGUGAGGAAAUCUUCAUUCCGCACGACCCUAAGAAGUGAGUGACUCCACCAGUUAUCUCAACACUUAGAGGAUCUGUGAUUUAUUUAAGUAGUUACUGGAAUUCAUGUGUCAUACCAAGCUUGUCAUGCCGUAGCUUACAGUACUUUACCAUGACGCCCUGGUGUUCUGGCAGGUUUUUAGAUGACAAAUCUUCUCCACAGUGGCGGUUCAGAGACCAGCCGUUCUGGACAGCCGCGAAGCUCUUAGGUAACGUGGGCCGGUGGGGUGCUACCUGAACACGCUCUAAAGGAGCUUGAUGUUGGACAAACUCCUGAACUGCUACCUGAAUGAUGACGCUACUCAACGAGACCCCAUCUCAGGACUCUGUCCAUAAAUGCAAAAAGGUCGCGGCGUGGUUUAAAGACGUGAGCUCCUGUCCCUCUCAGCUGAAGUCCUUCAGUGACCAUCUCCUCCAGACAGCCCAUUCAGUAUACAAACAACAGCCUGACCACCCCAACACACGGCCCGUGGUGAGCGACGUGCUAACUUUUCUGGGAAGCAUCAAGGCCUGGGACAAGGUAUUGACGAUAUCAGACAAAAACCAUUACAAAGACCUGGUGUCCUAGUGUGUCCUACUGUGUCAACCAUACUUCAUGUAAUAUUUGUUGUAAUUUUGUACAUUACACAACUGUAUUUGUACUUAUUUUUAUAUGUAUAUAAAUAAAUGUAGAUGUUUGGUCCAGUUCCCCUCCAAA
Oncorhynchus mykiss (rainbow trout) is the source of this 1804-nucleotide non-coding RNA. Lineage: Eukaryota; Metazoa; Chordata; Actinopteri; Salmoniformes; Salmonidae. The record is from RefSeq and is a predicted model, not a curated record.